RNAcentral lists this ribosomal RNA (253 nucleotides) under uncultured bacterium. RNAcentral describes it as "partial 16S ribosomal RNA". It matches the Rfam family "Bacterial small subunit ribosomal RNA", at positions 524 to 776 of the family's 1533-position model. The record is from RNAcentral.
GACGAACCGAGCGAACGUUAUUCGGAAUCACUGGGCUUAAAGGGCGCGUAGGCGGGCGGAAAAGUCAGGGGUGAAAUCCGGCAGCUCAACUGUCGAAGUGCCUCUGAUACUCUCCGCCUCGAGGGAGGUAGGGGCGUGCGGAACUUCCGGUGGAGCGGUGAAAUGCGUAGAUAUCGGAAGGAACACCAGUGGCGAAAGCGGCGCGCUGGACCUCUUCUGACGCUGAGGCGCGAAAGCCAGGGGAGCAAACGGG